UGGAGCAGUUCCUGGCUGUCCUUCCACCGGAGAUGGAGAGCUGGGUGAGGGAAUGUGGAGCUGAGUACCCAGUACCCAGCCACUGGCCCUGGCCGAAGGUUUCCUCCUGAGUCAGGCAGAGGAGAGGAAGCAGGCAGAGCAGCAGAGACAGGAUCUGUUUGCAGAAAUGGGCACGGAUUCCUCUGAGACCAAAAGGACUCCGCUGGACACCAGAGAGAGGCUGCUGGGUGACCAGAUGAUGCCAGCAAGACCUCCUCUUCCAUCUAUUCCUGGUGGUGAAGGAGAAGCAACGGCUGUGGAAGCAGCUCAGGUAGAGGGAGGGAGCCCUGUGGGGAAGGGGGCUGAGGGGUGGGGCAGCCAGGGUGCCUCUGGCCCCCGAGGAAUGUCUCUCCUCCUCUUGGCUUCUGUCCAAGCUUCUCUGAAGGCAUCUUUGUCAAGGGCAGCCUAGACAGAAGCCAAGAGGCUGGGAAUGCCAUUCGAGAAGCUUAAUGGGCUGAGCAUAAGGAACAGUAUAUACCCAAAGUAUCAAAUGUGGUGACAGUAAUAAUAAUACAACAAAACACCACCAUGAACUGGCUUAUAAGUAUAAAACCAAAUUUACUAGAAUAAUAGCUACAAUAGAGAUAGACUUGUAACCAUUCAAACAUCAAACAUGCUAAGGUGCCACGUGCAAAACAAAGCCUGGAGAUACUGUAAACAUGGAGUGGAUAAAUGCACAACUGUAUCUUAAGAAGAUACAUGUGCAAUAAACGUUAUACAGACUGGAUGGAUGAACCGUUCAACAAGUAGUGUAAGUCCAAUCGCAGAACGGCAACCCCAUGACGCCACAACGGCAAGGGUAGCACACCGGAGAAUCUGAAAAAGUUUUUCAAAGAUGUUUUUCAAAGGUUGAACUGGACGAGAUGUUCUUCAAUGGGUCUUGAGUUGGAAACCCAAAGUCUUGUGCAUGGAUCAGUUACGGGAAGGCAAAUCAAAGCCACUGCCCUGGUGAGAAUAACGCAAGUGGGCAAAAGGAGACCUGUUGUUCUCCAGAUAUAUUACAGGUUUUGCCACACGCUUCACCAGUCCGAAAAGCCAGUCGUACAAAAUGGUUUGCUCAGGAUAAAGAAGGUAUUCUCAGGCACUUAACGAAACAGCAACUAAAGAGCCAGUGUGGUAUAGUGGUUAAGAGCGGUAGUCUCAUAAUCUGGGGAACCGGGUUCGCAUCUCCGCUCCUC
This is a non-coding RNA of Podarcis muralis (Common wall lizard), 1217 nucleotides long. NCBI's taxonomy places the organism in Eukaryota, Metazoa, Chordata, Lepidosauria, Squamata, Lacertidae. The record is from RefSeq and is a predicted model, not a curated record.